GGCUGUGAGGGUGACAGAUCUGGCUGCAACACCUGUCACUUCAUUGGUUGCCAGGGUUGACUCAGCUGAUCUGACUAGCUAAAUAGGUGUCCCCUUCCUCCCUCACUGGUCAUGGGCAUCUCUCCCAAAGUUGGGUGCUUUGUGGAAGAAGACCUUCUGUGGUUGAGGAAGACCUUUUUUGCAGUCCGAGGUAUGCAAGGAGCUGUGCUCCACAGCUAGAACCUCCAAAAUGAGCUCUCAAAGUUCAUUUGCAGGAGAAUGUGGGGCAGUUAAAUUUCCAAGACUCCAGACAUAUCCAAUUUGGAAUU
Molecule: small nuclear RNA, 308 nt
Filed under: Jaculus jaculus (lesser Egyptian jerboa)
Lineage: Eukaryota; Metazoa; Chordata; Mammalia; Rodentia; Dipodidae
Description: 7SK RNA (ENSJJAG00000002693.1)
Rfam family: 7SK RNA
About the family: 7SK was discovered as an abundant small nuclear RNA in the mid-70s but a possible function has only recently been suggested. Two independent studies have found that 7SK RNA binds the CDK9/cyclin T complex (known as elongation factor P-TEFb).
Source: Rfam by way of RNAcentral